Molecule: long non-coding RNA, 984 nt
Organism: Cynocephalus volans (Philippine flying lemur)
Lineage: Eukaryota; Metazoa; Chordata; Mammalia; Dermoptera; Cynocephalidae
Exons: 2
Source: RefSeq, a predicted model, not a curated record
CACCCCGGUGCGGCCCCCGCCUGCCCGCGCGCGCACACUCGGCCCCCCGCGGCCGGCCCAACGGGGGUCACGCGCGAACCCCAGCUCCCGAGGAGGUUCCGCCUCCGGGCCGGCCGGGUGCGGGGCGAGGGGAGCGCACCCCGACUUCCAUGGAUCACAUGGGCUGCGGGGGGCGGGUGGAGCGGGGGCGGGGGAGGCGCGGGGAGCUGUGCCGCGGCUGCUCACCCCGGCCGGGGAGAAGACGCCCCCCACCACCUCUAGUUCGGCCUCUCCGUUCAAGUUCGCCGGCCCCUGCCGCCGGGAUCCGGGGAUGGCACCAGCCGCCCGCCCUGCUCUGCGCCCUGUUUCCAGCCACCGCGCAGAAAUUUAGGUCAAGGACGUCGGGAGCAAACCCACGCCCUGGCGCUCCCCGGGCUGCCCCGAAGACCCCCCAGGAUCGGGAGGCUUGAGGAUGGUGGAGACCCUCCUGCACGAGCACCAGCCUCAAGUUUUAUUUUCCUUUCACGCUGGAAGUUCUCUCUGGCUCUCUCGCUCCACACCGGCACGUCUUGAGCGACUCCCCGCCCUUCCCCAGCAGAGGAUUAGGAGACAAUGGAAUACACUCAACACCAAAACUGUACCGUGGGCCUUGGAAAAGUGGAGUGUUUGGAAAAUCUCCAACAUCAGCGAAAGCCUUGUGUGACCAGAUCCUUAACCUCUCUGUCCCCUAAAUUGGGAUAAUUCCUCCCUGACAGGAUCGGUGGGGAGGGGUUGAGGGUUUGAAGCGAACAAAGUACAAACUCCCUUUUUCGUCGCAAACCUAUGUGGGUUGUACUUAUCAGCAGAUAGUUAAUGUGAAUUUUAGAAGGUGCUUGACACCACAAACCCAAGGAUUCCUGUCACUCUGUGAGUUGCUUCCCAAAUCAUCUGGGGUCUUGUGUUGAGCCAGUUGUUAUUAUGAUUGUUUAUCAUGAUUAUUCUCAAUAACAAAAUGCAGGCAACAGA